GCGAGUGUGCCGAAAUUGGUAGCCGGGUGAAUCUUAGGAAUUCAUGAUUUUCGGAUCGUAAGAGUUCAAGUCUCUUUACUCGUA
RNAcentral lists this transfer RNA (84 nucleotides) under Chroogomphus rutilus. RNAcentral describes it as "tRNA-Leu". The record is from RNAcentral. Lineage: Eukaryota; Fungi; Basidiomycota; Agaricomycetes; Boletales; Gomphidiaceae. RNAcentral also lists the same sequence under 1 other name.